AUGGCUCAUUAUAUAAGUUAUCGUUUAUUUGAUAGCACCUUACUACUUGGAUAACCGUGGUAAUUCUAGAGCUAAUACAUGCUGAAAAUCCCGACUUCGGAAGGGAUGUAUUUAUUGGAUUAAAAACCAAUGCCCUCUGGGCUCUCUGGUGAUUCACGAUAACUUCUCGAAUCGCAUGGCCUUGCGCCGGCGAUGGUUCAUUCAAAUUUCUUCCCUAUCAACUUUCGAUGUUUGGGUAGUGGCCAAACAUGGUUGCAACGGGUAACGGAGGGUUAGGGCUCGACCCCGGAGAAGGAGCCUGAGAAACGGCUACUACAUCCAAGGAAGGCAGCAGGCGCGCAAAUUACCCAAUCCCGACACGGGGAGGUAGUGACAAUAAAUACUGAUACAGGGCUCUUUUGGGUCUUGUAAUUGGAAUGAGUACAAUUUAAAUCCCUUAACGAGGAACAAUUGGAGGGCAAGUCUGGUGCCAGCAGCCGCGGUAAUUCCAGCUCCAAUAGCGUAUAUUAAAGUUGUUGUGGUUAAAAAGCUCGUAGUUGAACCUUGGGCCUGGCUGGCCGGUCCGCCUCACCGCGUGCACUGGUCCGGCCGGGCCUUUCCCUCUGUGGAACCCCAUGCCCUUCACUGGGCGUGGCGGGGAAACAGGACCUUUACUUUGAAAAAAUUAGAGUGCUCCAGGCAGGCCUAUGCUCGAAUACAUUAGCAUGGAAUAAUGAAAUAGGACGUGCGGUUCUAUUUUGUUGGUUUCUAGGACCGCCGUAAUGAUUAAUAGGGACAGUCGGGGGCAUCAGUAUUCAAUUGUCAGAGGUGAAAUUCUUGGAUUUAUUGAAGACUAACUACUGCGAAAGCAUUUGCCAAGGAUGUUUUCAUUAAUCAGGAACGAAAGUUAGGGGAUCGAAGACGAUCAGAUACCGUCGUAGUCUUAACCAUAAACUAUGCCGACUAGGGAUCGGACGAUGUUAUUUUUUGACUCGUUCGGCACCUUACGAGAAAUCAAAGUGCUUGGGCUCCAGGGGGAGUAUGGUCGCAAGGCUGAAACUUAAAGAAAUUGACGGAAGGGCACCACCAGGGGUGGAGCCUGCGGCUUAAUUUGACUCAACA
RNAcentral lists this ribosomal RNA (1101 nucleotides) under Purpureocillium atypicola. Its description in RNAcentral is "SSU rRNA". It matches the Rfam family "Eukaryotic small subunit ribosomal RNA", at positions 93 to 1205 of the family's 1831-position model. Lineage: Eukaryota; Fungi; Ascomycota; Sordariomycetes; Hypocreales; Ophiocordycipitaceae. The record is from RNAcentral.